GGCGCACGGGUGAGUAACACGUGGGUAACCUGCCCUUGAGUGGGGGAUAACCUGGCGAAAGCCGGGCUAAUACCGCGUAAGACCACGACCGGUCAGCCGGUUGCGGUAAAACGGUGGCCUCUUCAUGAAAGCUAUCGCUCAAGGAUGGGCCCGCGGCCUAUUAGCUAGUUGGUGGGGUAACGGCCCACCAAGGCGACGAUGGGUAGCCGGCCUGAGAGGGUGAACGGCCACACUGGCACUGAGACACGGGCCAGACUCCUACGGGAGGCAGCAGUGGGGAAUUUUGCGCAAUGGGGGAAACCCUGACGCAGCAACGCCGCGUGAGUGAUGAAGGCCUUCGGGUUGUAAAGCUCUUUGAGUGGAGACGAAGCCAUGCAGGGUGAAUAUCCCUGCGGUCUGACGGUAUCCACAGAACAAGUUCCGGCUAACUACGUGCCAGCAGCCGCGGUAAUACGUAGGGAGCAAGCGUUGUUCGGAAUUAUUGGGCGUAAAGAGCGCGUAGGCGGCUUGGUAAGUCUGAUGUGAAAUCCCGGGGCUCAACCCCGGAACUGCAUUG
RNAcentral lists this ribosomal RNA (556 nucleotides) under uncultured Bacillota bacterium. Its description in RNAcentral is "bacterial SSU rRNA". It matches the Rfam family "Bacterial small subunit ribosomal RNA", at positions 97 to 628 of the family's 1533-position model. Lineage: Bacteria; Bacillati; Bacillota. The record is from RNAcentral.